RNAcentral lists this unclassified non-coding RNA (341 nucleotides) under soil metagenome. RNAcentral describes it as "partial contains 5.8S ribosomal RNA, internal transcribed spacer 2, and large subunit ribosomal RNA". The stretch from base 1 to 120 matches the Rfam family "5.8S ribosomal RNA", at positions 35 to 154 of the family's 154-position model. The record is from RNAcentral.
GAUGAAGAACGCAGUGAAAUGCGAUAAGUAGUGUGAAUUGCAGAAUUCAGUGAAUCAUCGAAUGUUUGAACGCACAUUGCGCCCUUUGGUAUUCCAAAGGGCAUGCCUGUUCGAGCGUCAUUUGUACCCUCAAGCUUUGCUUGGUGUUGGGCGUCUUGUCUCUAGCUUUGCUGGAGACUCGCCUUAAAGUAAUUGGCAGCCGGCCUACUGGUUUCGGAGCGCAGCACAAGUCGCACUCUCUAUCAGCAAAGGUCUAGCAUCCAUUAAGCCUUUUUUUCAACUUUUGACCUCGGAUCAGGUAGGGAUACCCGCUGAACUUAAGCAUAUCAAUAAGCGGAGGA